AGUGAACGCUGGCGGUAGGCCUAACACAUGCAAGUCGAACGGCAGCACAGGAGAGCUUGCUCUCUGGGUGGCGAGCGGCGGACGGGUGAGGAAUACAUCGGAAGCUACUCUGUCGUGGGGGAUAGCGUAGGGAAACUUACGCUAAUACCGCAUACGACCUACGGGUGAAAGCAGGGGAUCUUCGGACCUUGCGCGAUUGAAUGAGCCGAUGUCGGAUUAGCUAGUUGGCGGGGUAAAGGCCCACCAAGGCGACGAUCCGUAGCUGGUCUGAGGGGAUGAUCAGCCACACUGGAACUGGGACCCGGUCCAGACUCCUACGGGAGGCAGCAGUGGGGAAUAUUGGACAAUGGGCGCAAGCCUGAUCCAGCCAUACCGCGUGGGUGAAGAAGACCUUCGGGUUGUAAAGCCCUUUUGUUGGGAAAGAAAUCCAGCUGGCUAAUACCCGGUUGGGAUGACGGUACCCAAAGAAUAAGCACCGGCUAACUUCGUGCCAGCCGCCGCCGUAA
This 506-nucleotide ribosomal RNA is filed under the name uncultured bacterium. RNAcentral describes it as "partial 16S ribosomal RNA". It matches the Rfam family "Bacterial small subunit ribosomal RNA", at positions 29 to 523 of the family's 1533-position model. The record is from RNAcentral.